RNAcentral lists this ribosomal RNA (1464 nucleotides) under uncultured bacterium. RNAcentral describes it as "bacterial SSU rRNA". It matches the Rfam family "Bacterial small subunit ribosomal RNA". The record is from RNAcentral.
GAGUUUGAUCCUGGCUCAGGACGAACGCUGGCGGCGUGCCUAACACAUGCAAGUCUAGGAGAAGGCUCCUUUCGGGGGGCUUGAAACUGGCGAACGGGUGAGUAACGCGUAGAUAAUCUGCCCUAAUCCCUGGCAUAACGUCGAGAAAUCGGCGCUAAUAUCAGAUGAGGUGUUUACAUCAAAGGGCGACCGGAUUAGGAUGAGUCUGCGUCUGAUUAGCUAGUUGGUAGUGUAAUGGACUACCAAGGCGACGAUCAGUAGCUGGUCUGAGAGGAUGGUCAGCCACACUGGAACUGAGACACGGUCCAGACUCCUACGGGAGGCAGCAGUGAGGAAUAUUGGUCAAUGGGGGAAACCCUGAACCAGCGACGCCGCGUGUGGGACGAAGGAGCUUUGCUCUGUAAACCACUGUCGGAAGGGAAGAAAAGCAGCUUUGAGCUGCCGGGACUGUACCUUCGGAGGAAGGAUCGGCUAACUACGUGCCAGCAGCCGCGGUAAUACGUAGGAUCCGAGCGUUGUCCGGAAUCACUGGGUGUAAAGGGUGCGCAGGCGGAUUUGAACGUCAGAGGUUAAAUGUCACCGCUCAACGGUGAACCUGCCUUUGAAACGGCAAGUCUUGAGUAUGAGAGAGGUAAGUAGAAUUCCUGGUGUAGCGGUGAAAUGCGUAGAUAUCAGGAGGAAUACCAGUGGCGAAGGCGGCUUACUGGCUCAUAACUGACGCUCAGGCACGAAAGCGCGGGUAGCAAACAGGAUUAGAUACCCUGGUAGUCCGCGCCCUAAACGAUGUAUGCUUGGUGUUGGGAGUCUGACUCUCAGUGCCGGAGGAAACCCGUUAAGCAUACCACCUGGGGAGUACGAUCGCAAGGUUGAAACUCAAAGGAAUUGACGGGGGCCCGCACAAGCGGUGGAUCAUGUGGUUUAAUUCGAUGCAACGCGAAGAACCUUACCUGGGCUUGAAGUGUGGGAAGUAUUGACUGGAAACAGAAUAGACCUGUAAAAUCAGGAACCUACAGAGGUGCUGCAUGGCUGUCGUCAGCUCGUGCCGUGAGGUGUUGGGUUAAGUCCCGCAACGAGCGCAACCCCUAUCCUUAGUUGCCAUCGGGUUAUGCCGGGCACUCUAAGGAGACUGCCUACGCAAGUAGAGAGGAAGGUGGGGAUGACGUCAAGUCAUCAUGGCCCUUAUGUCCAGGGCUACACACGUGAUACAAUGGACGGUACAAUGGGCAAAGCCGCGAGGUGGAGGAAAUCCCAAAAACCGUUCUCAGUUCGGAUUGUAGUCUGCAACUCGACUGCAUGAAGCUGGAAUCGCUAGUAAUCGUAGAUCAGCUCGCUACGGUGAAUACGUUCCCGGGCCUUGUACACACCGCCCGUCAAGCCAUGGAAGCUGGGGGCGCCCGAAGACGGCAGCAAUGUCGUUUAAGGCGAACUUAGUAACUGGGGCUAAGUCGUAACAAGGUAACCGUA